Molecule: ribosomal RNA, 774 nt
Filed under: uncultured Neocallimastigales
Lineage: Eukaryota; Fungi; Neocallimastigomycota; Neocallimastigomycetes; Neocallimastigales
Description: partial large subunit ribosomal RNA
Rfam family: Eukaryotic large subunit ribosomal RNA
Source: RNAcentral
UAUGUGAUCGUCUCUCGCAUAUCAAUAAGCGGAGGAAAAGAAACUAACAAGGAUUCCCCUAGUAACGGCGAGUGAAGCGGGAAGAGCUCAAAUUUGAAAUCUUAAAGGGUUUCCCUUUACGAAUUGUAGUUUAAAGAAGUGUUUUCUGUUGAGGUUUUGGUAAAAGUUCUUUGGAAUAGGACAUCAUAGAGGGUGAGAAUCCCGUAUUUGACCUUUACUUUCAACUUUGUGAUACACUUUCAAAGAGUCGGAUUGUUUGGGAAUGCAGUCCAAAAUGGGUGGUAAAUUUCAUCUAAAGCUAAAUAUUGGCGAGAGACCGAUAGCGAACAAGUACCGUGAGGGAAAGAUGAAAAGAACUUUGAAAAGAGAGUUAAACAGUACGUGAAAUUGUCAAAAGGGAAGCGUUUGACACCAGUGUUGUUUUUCUGAAAAUCAAUUAAAGAACUGUUUAUGCUAAGUUGUUUAGACUUUAUCAGCUAACUGUUUAGUUUUGAGCUUUUCUUUAAUGCACUUUUCAGUUAACAAGUCAACAGUCAAUUUCUUUUGCUGUAAAAAAGCUUGAGGAAGGUGGCUUGAGAUUCGUCUUAAGUGUUUAUAGCCUCUUGCCUAUGCAGUCGGAGAGAUUGAGGUCUGCAGCGUAGAUCCUUCGGGCUAGAUGCAUUUGUGCUAAGUUAUAGCAUUUUAUAGACAACUUGUUGACUAUGAUUUGUCUUGUAGCUUACUCGCUUAUGUUAUUUUACCUACGCUUAGGAUGUUGACUGAUAUGUAGUCGUA